This 253-nucleotide ribosomal RNA is filed under the name uncultured bacterium. Its description in RNAcentral is "partial 16S ribosomal RNA". It matches the Rfam family "Bacterial small subunit ribosomal RNA", at positions 524 to 776 of the family's 1533-position model. The record is from RNAcentral.
UACGUAGGGUGCGAGCGUUGUCCGGAAUUAUUGGGCGUAAAGGGCUCGUAGGCGGUUUGUCGCGUCGGGAGUGAAAUCCACUGGCUUAACUGGUGGCUUGCUUUCGAUACGGGCAGACUGGAGGUAUGCAGGGGAGAACGGAAUUCCUGGUGUAGCGGUGAAAUGCGCAGAUAUCAGGAGGAACACCGGUGGCGAAGGCGGUUCUCUGGGCAUGCCCUGACGCUGAGGAGCGAAAGUGUGGGGAGCGAACAGG